AUUAUGUCGUAUAACACCUGAGACAUUUUAGUAAAAAGAUCGGACACAAAAAGGGACGUCUCAAACCCAGCUAACUGGUUUAUUUCUCGACCAUCCUAUAUCAUGAUAGCUUCACGAAUGACUUGCCCACUGGCGCCACACUGGCCUCGCUGUUUUCAACGGUUCUCAGGUUGCCGGGGCGGCUUGUUUGAACUGUUUGAACCACAGGUUUGAACUGUUUCAACGGGAGUCAUGGCAGAUCCACUUGGAGGCUUAUUUAAACCAAAGUCCCGCUGGCGGGAAAAGAUAACGGACGGAGCAGCACUGCGUGGCCUCGCAAUCCCAGCGACCCGACGAGCUCGCAGUGGUGCUCGGAAGACGACCCUCCCAAAGCCGACGACGCGCACUCGCGCGUACAUGCGCAAGCGAUCACCUCUGUGGACAGCGAAGAAACAUCGUCGCACUGUGACAACUUUGUUGGCGUUCGUUUCAUAAAACCCGUUCUAUAAGGAGCUUGUGUCCACCCUGAAAGGCCUGGCGAGCCACGUGCUCGUAUUCAAGCUGGUGCCACGAGGUGGGCCUUUCGGGCAUGCCAGGGAGGAUGAGAGGCUGUCCCUGAACCGCCUACUAGUACGGAAGGUGUUGCCCUCGGCGUUACCAUCAUGAAUGUCGACUACCUCUUCUCAACCGAGGCAACAUGGUCAACCUCGACAAGCUGGCUACUGACCAGUACCACGUGUGCCGUGUCCGCGGCAUCUAGCGUCUUGCAUUUGCGCUCGGCAAGGCACUCGCAAAACUUUAUGGUAAUUCUAUCCUUGGUGGGUGCUGUGCCCCAUUCUAACCUUUCGAAGGCCACAGGUGUUUAAGAUGUGGAGCCUGUGGCCAGUGGGGAGGUGUAUGUCUCCAAUUUGCCGGACCCUAGCACUAGCUAAGUUACCGCCGAAUUCACAAACCUCAUUUCAAUUGAGGCGCCCCUCCACUUCCUCAAGGAAGGUGUGAGGGCCGGUGCUGGGGAGGGGCCAGUCGCGACGACAAAUAGGCGGCCUAGGCUGCUUAGCCGUCCUCGCGAUUGGCCAGUGCCGUCCCUCGUGCCUUCCUUGAGGAAGUGGGGGGGUGCCUCAAUUGGAAUAAAGGUUUGUGAAUUCGGCAGUUAGUGUCUCUUUUCCCCUAUGUGCAAUCCCAGCCAUUAUGAGCUAGAAUGAAGAGCUUUCCUACAAGAACCUUUCUAAUCCGUUAUUUCAAAGUUUGUUUAUUUCUAAAGAGCAUCUCAGUGCCUGCAUUUUGAUGUCAUAAUACUCUACUCUAAGAUCUCAAAAGGUAGUCCACCCCUAUUUUUGGCUUGAUUUGCUUUACUUUUUGAACACCGAAAGAUAGACUACUUCUAGUAAUAGUAGUGUUGGGAUCAGUGAUGGCCUCGACACAAAUGCGGCUAGUUAGCUGUGGCGGGAUACAAGUGAAUGUUGCUGACUGGGAAGUACAUACCUCGGGAUUUUAUGGUUUGUGCCAAAUAGCUUUAAAAAUGAAGGGAUCUGCAGAGAUGCUUGAAAAAUCAUCACUUUUCUCGUGGUAAGGAACGAAUUCAGGGCCAUAGAAGAACUGCAACAAAUUGUGUAGUUGGGCUAGUUCGUUGGUCAUUUUGAAAUGGUAUCUGUCUGCUUCUUUUUAUGUUUACUUACUGUACCAUGCAGAAGUAAAAUUUUCAGUCGUAAGUGAGCGCUGUGUCUGUGUUCUCUUCGUCUUUUUCAGCCAUAGGGGGGCUCACACACCAUUGGUUGGGUGGCUUGCAAACCAUGUCGCUGAUUUCCAUUGUUGAUGUGCACUUUUUCCCAUAAAAAGAAACAAAAUCAAUCAAAGCAUCAAGCGAAAAGUUCAGUGCCUAAUCAUGAAUGCUACAAACGGAAUAUUUG
Molecule: long non-coding RNA, 1886 nt
Filed under: Ixodes scapularis (black-legged tick)
Lineage: Eukaryota; Metazoa; Arthropoda; Arachnida; Ixodida; Ixodidae
Description: uncharacterized LOC115314466, transcript variant X2
Source: RNAcentral